GAUGAAGAACGCAGCGAAAUGCGAUAAGUAAUGUGAAUUGCAGAAUUCAGUGAAUCAUCGAAUCUUUGAACGCACAUUGCGCCCCUUGGUAUUCCGAGGGGCAUGCCUGUUCGAGCGUCAUUAUAACCCCUCAAGCUCAGCUUGGUGUUGGGGCCUGCCGCACGGGCAGCCCUUAAAAUCAGUGGCGGUGCUAUCUGGCUCUAAGCGUAGUAAUUCUUCACGCUAUAGAGUCCCGGUGGAUGCUUGCCAUUAACCCCCAAUUUUCUAUGGUUGACCUCGGAUCAGGUAGGGAUACCCGCUGAACUUAAGCAUAUCAAUAAGCGGAGGA
This 328-nucleotide unclassified non-coding RNA is filed under the name soil metagenome. Its description in RNAcentral is "partial contains 5.8S ribosomal RNA, internal transcribed spacer 2, and large subunit ribosomal RNA". The stretch from base 1 to 120 matches the Rfam family "5.8S ribosomal RNA", at positions 35 to 154 of the family's 154-position model. The record is from RNAcentral.